RNAcentral lists this ribosomal RNA (392 nucleotides) under uncultured bacterium. Its description in RNAcentral is "bacterial SSU rRNA". It matches the Rfam family "Bacterial small subunit ribosomal RNA", at positions 998 to 1391 of the family's 1533-position model. The record is from RNAcentral.
UGGCUGAAAGCGGGGUGCUCUCAGAGAAUGUGUAUCNAGUGCUGCAUGGCUGUCGUCACCUCCUGUCGUGAGAUGUUGGGUUAAAUCCCGCAACGAGCGCAACCCCUGCCAUCAGUUGCCAGCAGUUCGGCUGGGCACUCUGAUGGGACUGCCGGUGUUAAACCGGAGGAAGGUGGGGAUGACGUCAAGUCAUCAUGGCCCUUAUGUCCAGGGCUACACACGUGCUACAAUGAUCGGUACAAAUCGUCGCGAACCCGCGAGGGGGAGCCAAUCGCAAAAAACCGGUCUCAGUACAGAUAAGAGUCUGCAACUCGACUCUUUGAAGUUGGAAUCGCUAGUAAUCCCUGAUCAGCAGGCAGGGGUGAAUACGUUCCCGGGUCUUGUAACACACC